ACUGGAGUGGUCAAUCCCAUCUUGACACACGCACCGACAAGUCAAGUACUUGACUACACCCAGCAGCCUUCUGUCACUAAAUUAGAAAUUCAGGUAGUCCAGUGCCUAAGUGCAGUGAGUUGCUUGCAAGUCACCGUGGCGGUCUCAAGUCGGAGGGACAGUUAUACCCAUAUCCCAUCGGAGCAAAUCUUGACAGCAGAAAAAGCUCCGGAGUCGGUCAUGUUCAGUACAGAUGUACCCUUAUAUCUCACCUAUAUGCCAUACCAGUGUCUCCACACUCCUUGGUUAAGAGGAC
RNAcentral lists this long non-coding RNA (295 nucleotides) under Elaeis guineensis (African oil palm). Its description in RNAcentral is "long non-coding RNA (EGUI_LNC079685)". The record is from RNAcentral. Lineage: Eukaryota; Viridiplantae; Streptophyta; Magnoliopsida; Arecales; Arecaceae.